Long non-coding RNA from Bos taurus (domestic cattle), 1035 nucleotides. NCBI's taxonomy places the organism in Eukaryota, Metazoa, Chordata, Mammalia, Artiodactyla, Bovidae. The record is from Ensembl.
GGCACUCUCCGGCUUUCUCAUUUCUGUGCCGCUAAUAGCUGCCAGUGGAUGCCUCAUCAUUUAAAUUUCUGUUCCUCUGAUUACUAACAACUUUGAGCAUCCCUCUCUUUCCUUUUCUCUGGCUGUGUGGUAUGCGGGAUCUUAGUUUCCCAAUGAGGGAUCAAACCCGCGCCCCCUGCAGUGGAAGCACAGAAUCUUAACCACAGUCCCCAGUGAGCGCCCUUUCAUGCAAUUAGUGAUUCCGCAGAGAUUAAUGCUCUUUCUCUUUAAGGUUUCAUGCUUUAGGUGACCAUAGGAGCAGCUCCAGAAUUUCCAAAUUUGAGGAAUUUAGAUCCUAAGCAAUUCCACUGGAAGGUGGGGCUAAAGAUGUGCUAGUGGCCGAAGCCACCCCAAGAAUCCUUUGUGACCAGCACCAGGGGCCUGUGCCUAAGUGCAUUGUGGACCAUGUGAUGGGCCAGAGACUAGUGGGAGCAGGCUUAGAUCUACAGGAAGUCAUUACUGCCCAUCAGCUUGCAGAACAGGAGCAGAGGAAGAGGCUUCCAGGCAACACAAAGAUGCAGCUACCAAUUGCACCCCUGGGACCAAAGUGGGGAGGGAUGUGGAAGGGUGGGGGGGAGAAGUACCUACAUCUCUCUCUCUCCCAUCCUCCUAUCUCCUGCUGACACCUUUCACUGACCAUAACCAAUCAGAAAUCAGAGGGCAAGGAGCUCACUCCAGCAGGAUGCAGACAAAGGACCACCGGACCAGAGACUCACCAAGAGGGAUGGAGAUGGGAGGGGAUACACAAACAGUGAAACCCUCACAAAGGUGUCUGUUGGCAUGAUUUCUUAACAGUUUUGACAACAGCAUCUUAAUGCUUACAAGUGGAAUAUCUCAAGCCAAGGCAAGUUUCCCCAGGUCAAACUAAAGCUGAAAUCACAAAGCAAAGGCGGUACUGAAGAGAGAAACUGAGCAGAGAGGGGAGGAGGAACCAUGAGCUCAGAAUAAGGCUUAUCAAAAGACGCCGAAUCUAGAGCCUAAGAGUGAGAACAAGCA